UGGCAUAUAGCUUAGUGGUAGAGCAUCUGCCUACCAUCUGUGAGGUCCUGGGUUCAAUUCCUAGUACUGCAA
Molecule: transfer RNA, 72 nt
Filed under: Ictidomys tridecemlineatus (thirteen-lined ground squirrel)
Lineage: Eukaryota; Metazoa; Chordata; Mammalia; Rodentia; Sciuridae
Description: Spermophilus tridecemlineatus (thirteen-lined ground squirrel) tRNA
Rfam family: tRNA
About the family: Transfer RNA (tRNA) molecules are approximately 80 nucleotides in length. Their secondary structure includes four short double-helical elements and three loops (D, anti-codon, and T loops).
Source: Rfam by way of RNAcentral